AGUCUACUACGGAUGAUGAUAUGAUAGUUGAAUCAAAGUUGCCGGCUGAUGUGUGUGAAGAUGAUCUGGAAGGAAAUCAAAAAGAUGUUAAAGGCAAGUCCAAGGUAUAUGAAGCUCAGACACAACGAAAUCUUCGAAGCAGAGUUAAAAGGGUUGAUGCAGCGGCAAGCACUGGUUCUCCGGUCUUGAAA
Helianthus annuus (common sunflower) is the source of this 191-nucleotide long non-coding RNA. RefSeq lists it as uncharacterized. Lineage: Eukaryota; Viridiplantae; Streptophyta; Magnoliopsida; Asterales; Asteraceae. The transcript is spliced from 3 exons. The record is from RefSeq and is a predicted model, not a curated record.